Molecule: ribosomal RNA, 254 nt
Filed under: uncultured bacterium
Lineage: Bacteria
Description: partial 16S ribosomal RNA
Rfam family: Bacterial small subunit ribosomal RNA
Source: RNAcentral
UACGUAGGAGACGAGCGUUGUCCGGAGUUACUGGGCGUAAAGGGUGCGCAGGUGGCCGCGCGCGUGGGGGGUGAAAUCGCCUGGCUUAACUGGGCGGGGGCCUUCCAGACGGCGUGGCUUGAGCAGCGGAGGGGGGCGUGGAAUUCCGGGUGGAGCGGUGAAAUGCGUAGAGAUCCGGAGGAACACCGACGGCGCAGGCAGCGCCCUGGUCGCUUGCUGACACUGAGGCACGAAAGCUGGGGGGAGCAAACAGG